AUUGAACGCUGGCGGCAUGCCUUACACAUGCCAGUCGAACGGCAGCACGGGUGCUUGCCCCUGGUGGCGAGUGGCGAACGGGUGAGUAAUACAUCGGAACAUGUCCUGUAGUUGGGGAUAGCCCGGCGAAAGCCGGAUUAAUACCGCAUACGAUCUACGGAUUAAAGCGGGGGACCUUCUGGCCUCGCCUUAUAGCGUUGGCCGAUGGCUGAUUAGCUAGUUGGUGGGGUAAAGGCCUACCAAGGCUACGAUCAGUAGCUGGUCUGAGAGGACGACCAGCCACAUUGGGACUGAGACACGGCCCAGACUCCUACGGGAGGCAGCAGUGUGGAAUUUUGGACAAUGGGCGAAAGCCUGAUCCAGCAAUGCGGCGUGUGUAAAGAAGGCCUUCGGGUUGUAAAGCACUUUUGUCCGGAAAGAAAGCCUUGGCCCUAAUACGGGCGGGUGAUGACGGUACCGGAAGAAUAAGCACCGGCUAACUACGUG
Molecule: ribosomal RNA, 486 nt
Filed under: uncultured bacterium
Lineage: Bacteria
Description: partial 16S ribosomal RNA
Rfam family: Bacterial small subunit ribosomal RNA
Source: RNAcentral